GUUCGUCAUUGAUGGGGGCCAGCAAUACGCAAGCGUUGCCGGUUGUUCUGCAAACAAGAUCAGUGUCCAAGACUCGCAAGUCGAAGACGUCUUCAUUCAAGUUUGUGUUGCGAUUGUGAUAGUGUCCUGCAGGAAUAUAUAUAAAAAAUGGCGCCAACAGUAUUUCCGUACGAAAACUUCAGAGACGAUGAAGACGCACAAGCGUUAAAAGAUGCCAUGGAUGGUCUAGGAACGAACGAAAAUGCUAUCAUCGAGAUUUUAGCAAGGAGAACAAAUGAACAAAGACGGCAAAUUGAACAUACUUACAAAACCAUGUUUGGAGAGGACCUAAUAGAAACUCUAAAAGGGGAACUAGGAGGCGAUUUCGAGGACGUAAUACUGGCUCUGAUGAAAGAGCCGUUGGACUUCCAAGUUGAAGAAUUACAUAGAGCGAUCAGUGGAAUGGGAACAGACGACGAUUCCUUGGUAGAAAUAUUGGUUGUACAUGACAACGAAGAGAUUCAACGUCUCUCCGAGAGGUACCAAGAAUUGUAUGAAACUUCUUUAGAAGACGCCAUUAGAGGUGAUGAGUCAGGCACGUUACAAAGACUUCUCGUUUCUUUGUCAACGGGUGGUAGAGACGACUCUGGAUUGGUUGACAAAAACUCAGCCAUUGCCGAUGCCCAAGCACUAUACGAUGCCGGUGAAUCAUCGUGGGGAACUGAAGAAUCUGUUUUCAAUUCCAUUCUUUGCCUAAAAAAUAAAAGACAACUUAAACUCAUUUUCGACGAAUACGAAACUAUGAUCGGACAUUCCAUUGAAGACGCCAUCGACAAUGAAUUCUCAGGAAGUACCAAAAAUGCUUACUUAGCCCUAGUAACGUCAAUUAGGGAUAGACCCGUGUACUUGGCCACCAAACUCCACGACGCAAUGCAUGGUAUGGGCACAGACGACAAAACACUUAUCAGAAUUAUAGUAUCUAGAUCAGAAAUAGAUCUUGAAGAUAUUAAAGAAGCCUAUGAGGCCAAAUACGCUAAGACUUUGUACGAAAGGGUGUCGGAUGACUGCUCUGGAAAAUAUCUUAAGACAUUGUUGACAAUAAUAGGCUAAGAUGGACAAAAUUUUUGUUGAAUUUUGAAUUAUAACACUUGCCACAGAGUUAUUAUAGUAUUAGUUUAGUUAAAAGUUAUUAAAAAUGGAUUUGAGACAUUUCAUAAAGAUCAUUUUAAAUUCUAUGCAGACAAUAGGAUGAUGCUACUGGAAAAUACGCAAAAGCAUUAUUGACAUUAAUUGGUUAACUUUUCGAAAUGUUCUUUUCCAAAAUUUAGUGUGUACUUUUUGCUAGGUGUAUACUUGUUCAGUAUUGCGGUCAACAUAAAAGUUAAUAUAUCAGAAUUACUGUAUUUUGAAUAAAAGUCUUCAACGAAAUAAUGUUAAGUUAGUUUAUCUACUCAAAUUUUUUAUUCGUAAGUUCCCCUGAGGAUUAUUAUGUAUUUAAAAAAAUAUAUUUAGGUACUAGAAAUACUCAGAAAAAUGUAAGGUAUUUAGGUAUUUUCGGAAUAAGAGGGUUUGUGCAGUAGGUAUUCUUGAUGCUGAUGUUCACUCUACUACCAAUAUAUUUACAAUGACAAAAUAACAGCUGCCAAUAUAUUUAUAUAUUACACAAAAAAUUGUCUUAUUUUAGUUCUUUGUAGCCAUGGCAUGCAAACUAACCAAAACUUUUACUAUGUUUUGUUUUGAAUGCUUUUUCUCCAUGAAAAUAAAUGUGACCGUAUCAAAUAUAACAUCACUAUAAUGUUAUUUUUUCCAAAGUAGUUAAGAGACAUUUUUAGUGUCAUUGUUAACCUCCUUUUAACUAUUUAUGGUAAUUGUUUUCGUUGUUGUUAUUAACUUGCUAGAUCUAAUAGACGAAGAUGUAGUACAUUCAAUCAGUGUAGACGAGAUAAGACGAGCCUUUAAAGGAAAUGAAAAACGAGAAAGCCACAGGACCUUGAUACAUCCCCAUUGAAUUAAUAAAACUCGGACCAUUAAUAGUAAUAGAAUUUAUUAUUUAUCUAUUAAUAUAGAGAUAAUAAUUUAAGACUUUAAGACCACAGCGUGGGUAUUUCAUUACAGAAACCAGAAUUAUCGUCACCAGCCAUCACGACGAUAAAAUGUGAAAUCCCAUAGAAUCGUGCGUGUUUGACAAUUUAUAGGUUCUGAUAGUAAUUGAAAAGCAUUAUGAGGAUUCCAAUGAGGUACCUACUCAAAGAAAGAAUUUGUAGUUCGAUAAUUACCCAAACGUUUUUAAUAUAAAAGGGAGAUUUGAGGGGAAGUAGUGUAUGUCUAGGUAAUAAAAACUAUCCACAUACAUAAAGAAAAAGUGAUUGGAGGGUUUAAGUAUACACAUUCUUCCCACAUAAAACUCAAGAACUAGUGCAGAUAUGUACAGGACUGGCCAAAAUUUAAAAUUUAAGAAAAAUAGCAAGCUAAAAUAAUACUAUCAUCCUUAUCAAAAGCAAAAUCUCAGUUGAAGCCUAUGCGAUGGAUUUGAUACCCUCUAUAUAUUAGCAGAUUAUUUAGUUUACCAUACCACGUGGCAAGAAAUCAUAUCGAAAAUAUGCUCAUAUAUACUACUUUGGGAAAAAUAACAAUAUUUUCUUAUCUUAUAAGCACUUUCUUGUUUUAUUUCUAAUUAAAUAACAAAAAUACACGUUUUAUACAAAGUUGUUUUGAGAACUGUUACUUUAUCUACUUCUUUUCCAGAGCGACGAAUCUUCAAACGUCAGAAAGAUCCUGCUCGCUUUAAUUGAGUGAACUUUUAAAUAAUGUUUGAUAAAUGUGAGCUUAAAAUUCACAAAAUGCUUGAAACGGUAGACUGCACCUGAUAUUUGCUAAAUUUUUAUAAAAAAAAGUUAUGUUAAACCUAUUCUAAAAUGUAUUUAUUUCUAUUGAAUGUUAUAUAACGCUUAUAUAUUUUAUGAUUGUAUUUUUAGAUGGUUGUGACGCAAAUAAAUAUAUUUUACAAAA
Molecule: unclassified non-coding RNA, 2988 nt
Filed under: Diabrotica virgifera virgifera (western corn rootworm)
Lineage: Eukaryota; Metazoa; Arthropoda; Insecta; Coleoptera; Chrysomelidae
Description: annexin B9
Source: RNAcentral